GUUUGAGAGUGCAUGUUUGUUAUUUUAUUUGAAAUCUCCCGUUUUCUAUUUCUAUUACUACCUGUUAGUGGUACUGUUCACAUUUGGGGCCAACAGUUUCAGGGUACUUUUACCCUCUCCUACCACCCCUAACAACAAUUUUUAAAAAAGAGAGAAACUAAAAGCCGGAACUUGAGAAAAUAGGAUUAUAUAAAAGAUAAAAUGACUGAUACAGAAUUCUCACCACGUAAAGGAUUUCUGCUGGCUUCCUUUAAGGCAUGAACUUCAAGUGCAACACAGUGAGAGACUUUACAAGUUUGAGUCACAAGCAUUUGUGGAAUGGAGCGGGGGAUGGGGAGCAGUUUUUGUUUUUUCUAAUUCUGGUGAGGUAAUAAAUUUUCCGGAACCUUUUUUAAGAAAGGUUUACAAGUAAAUAGAAAUAUCCGUUUUAUGUAAGCUUUUCAACACUUGGGAGAUCGGUGAACUUCAUUGCAGUUAAUGAAUAUUUUCUGCCUUUAUUGCUUGCUUUUCUGCUUUGGGUGACUGAAAUAUUAACUUUAUUUGAGUUUCAAGAUACCGAUCAUUUAAGAAUCUGAUGAUGAACCUUUAAAAACCAGCUACUAAUUUCUUGACAUAACUGAUACAGCUUUUAAUAAUGUACUGUUGCUGGCUAGGCUUUUAAAAAUUUAAUAUUCAUAGGGAGGCUUAUUCAAUUUUAAUUAAAACAUAAUAUUGUAAGUUUUUUAUGAAACAAAAUUUUUC
Molecule: long non-coding RNA, 741 nt
Filed under: Homo sapiens (human)
Lineage: Eukaryota; Metazoa; Chordata; Mammalia; Primates; Hominidae
Description: HSALNT0249328
Source: RNAcentral